This 220-nucleotide long non-coding RNA is filed under the name Manihot esculenta (cassava). Its description in RNAcentral is "long non-coding RNA (MESC_LNC011196)". Lineage: Eukaryota; Viridiplantae; Streptophyta; Magnoliopsida; Malpighiales; Euphorbiaceae. The record is from RNAcentral.
GGAUGUUUGGAGUUCAGGUUAGGCUUGCUACGGGUUCUGGCAGCCUUAAGCCGAUCUAGAUCCUAGCGCCGAGCAGUUUGGGCCAUUACAGAGAGGUACUGGUUUCCGGGCUGUUACAGAUGGUAUCAGAGCAUAGGGCCUCCUAAGUACGGUGUGUUGAGCAUUUUUGUUCAAGGAUUAGAGAUAUCCCACAUCGGAAAGAGGUUGGUUUAGAUGUGCU